ACCCCAAAUAUAAAGUUUAAGCUUUUUUUAGAA
RNAcentral lists this transfer RNA (33 nucleotides) under Elaeidobius plagiatus. Its description in RNAcentral is "partial tRNA-Leu". Lineage: Eukaryota; Metazoa; Arthropoda; Insecta; Coleoptera; Curculionidae. The record is from RNAcentral.